CAGUCGCCGCGGUAAUACGUAGGUCCCGAGCGUUGUCCGGAUUUAUUGGGCGUAAAGCGAGCGCAGGCGGUUAGAUAAGUCUGAAGUUAAAGGCUGUGGCUUAACCAUAGUACGCUUUGGAAACUGUUUAACUUGAGUGCAAGAGGGGAGAGUGGAAUUCCAUGUGUAGCGGUGAAAUGCGUAGAUAUAUGGAGGAACACCGGUGGCGAAAGCGGCUCUCUGGCUUGUAACCGACGCUGAGGCUCGAAAGCGUGGGGAGCAAACAGGAUUAGAUACCCCCGUAGUCCCUGUCUCUUAUACA
Molecule: ribosomal RNA, 301 nt
Filed under: uncultured bacterium
Lineage: Bacteria
Description: partial 16S ribosomal RNA
Rfam family: Bacterial small subunit ribosomal RNA
Source: RNAcentral